Molecule: ribosomal RNA, 244 nt
Filed under: uncultured bacterium
Lineage: Bacteria
Description: partial 16S ribosomal RNA
Rfam family: Bacterial small subunit ribosomal RNA
Source: RNAcentral
ACGGGUGAGUAACGCGUGGAUAAUCUACCCUUAAGAUGGGGAUAACGGCUGGAAACGGUCGCUAAUACCGAAUACGCUCCCGAUUUUAUCGUUGGGGGGAAAGAUGGCCUCUGCUUGCAAGCUAUCGCUUAAGGAUGAGUCCGCGUCCCAUUAGCUAGUUGGCGGGGUAGCGGCCCACCAAGGCAACGAUGGGUAGCCGGUCUGAGAGGAUGACCGGCCACACUGGAACUGGAACACGGUCCAG